UACGUAGGGACCAAGCGUUGUUCGGAUUUACUGGGCGUAAAGGGCGCGUAGGCGGCGUGACAAGUCACUUGUGAAAUCUCCGGGCUUAACUCGGAACGGUCAAGUGAUACUGUCGUGCUAGAGUACAGAAGGGGCAACUGGAAUUCUCGGUGUAGCGGUGAAAUGCGUAGAUAUCGAGAGGAACACCUGCGGCGAAGGCGGGUUGCUGGGCUGACACUGACGCUGAAGCGCGAAAGCUAGGGGAGCGAACGGG
RNAcentral lists this ribosomal RNA (253 nucleotides) under uncultured bacterium. Its description in RNAcentral is "partial 16S ribosomal RNA". It matches the Rfam family "Bacterial small subunit ribosomal RNA", at positions 524 to 776 of the family's 1533-position model. The record is from RNAcentral.